UAGGGAAUCUUCCACAAUGGGCGCAAGCCUGAUGGAGCAACACCGCGUGAGUGGAGAAGGGUUUCGGCUCGUAAAGCUCUGUUGUUAAAGAAGAACACGUAUGAGAGUAACUGUUCAUACGUUGACGGUAUUUAACCAGAAAGUCACGGCUAACUACGUGCCAGCAGCCGCGGUAAUACGUAGGUGGCAAGCGCUAUCCGGAUUUAUUGGGCGUAAAGAGAGUGCAGGCGGUUUUCUAAGUCUGAUGUGAAAGCCUUCGGCUUAACCGGAGAAGUGCAUCGGAAACUGGAUAACUUGAGUGCAGAAGAGGGUAGUGGAACUCCAUGUGUAGCGGUGGAAUGCGUAGAUAUAUGGAAGAACACCAGUGGCGAAGGCGGCUACCUGGUCUGCAACUGACGCUGAGACUCGAAAGCAUGGGUAGCGAACAGGAUUAGAUACCCUGGUAGUCCAUGCCGUAAACGAUGAGUGCUAGGUGUUGGAGGGUUUCCGCCCUUCAGUGCCGGAGCUAACGCAUUAAGCACUCCGCCUGGGGAGUACGACCGCAAGGUUG
This 550-nucleotide ribosomal RNA is filed under the name uncultured bacterium. RNAcentral describes it as "bacterial SSU rRNA". It matches the Rfam family "Bacterial small subunit ribosomal RNA", at positions 355 to 896 of the family's 1533-position model. The record is from RNAcentral.